CCUACGGGAGGCAGCAGUAAGGAAUAUUGGUCAAUGGACGCAAGUCUGAACCAGCCAUGCCGCGUGAAGGAUUAAGGCCCUCUGGGUUGUAAACUUCUUUUAUAGGGGACGAAAAAAGGGCAUUCUUGCUCACUUGACGGUACCCUAGGAAUAAGCACCGGCUAGCUCCGUGCCAGCAGCCGCGGUAAUACGGAGGGUGCAAGCGUUAUCCGGAUUUACUGGGUUUAAAGGGUGCGUAGGUGGGUUGGUAAGUCAGUGGUGAAAUCUUCGAGCUUAACUCGGAAACUGCCAUUGAUACUAUCAAUCUUGAAUCAUCUAGAGGUAAGCGGAAUAUGUCAUGUAGCGGUGAAAUGCUUAGAUAUGACAUAGAACACCAAUUGCGAAGGCAGCUUACUAUGGAUGCAUUGACACUGAGGCACGAAAGCGUGGGGAUCAAACAGGAUUAGAUACCCUGGUAGUCCACGCCCUAAACGAUGGAUACUCGACAUUUGUGAUAUACAAUAAGUGUCUGAGCGAAAGCAUUAAGUAUCCCACCUGGAAGUACGACCGCAAGGUUGAAACGUCAAAUGAAAUUGACGG
RNAcentral lists this ribosomal RNA (579 nucleotides) under uncultured bacterium. Its description in RNAcentral is "bacterial SSU rRNA". It matches the Rfam family "Bacterial small subunit ribosomal RNA", at positions 338 to 916 of the family's 1533-position model. The record is from RNAcentral.